Molecule: ribosomal RNA, 254 nt
Filed under: uncultured bacterium
Lineage: Bacteria
Description: partial 16S ribosomal RNA
Rfam family: Bacterial small subunit ribosomal RNA
Source: RNAcentral
UACGUAGGGGCCUAGCGUUGUCCGGAUUUAUUGGGCGUAAAGAGCUCGUAGGCGGUUCGGCAAGUCGGAUGUGAAAUCUCCACGCUUAACGUGGAGGGGCCAUUCGAAACUGCCGUGACUCGAGUCCGGUAGGGGAGUGUGGAAUUCCCGGUGUAGCGGUGAAAUGCGCAGAUAUCGGGAGGAACACCGGUGGCGAAGGCGGUUCUCUGGGCCUUACCUGACGCUGAGGAGCGAAAGCGUGGGGAGCGAACAGG